GGCAGUUUGUGAAGGGGGUGGAGGAGGUGGGUUCUCCAUUCCUUUUAUAUUUCGAUCCUUAGAAUCAAACCGAUUGUCAGUUAGAGAGAUGGACUAAGAUUUGUAUUUUGUUGGCUGCUUAAAAUAUUCUUACACUUACGCAGUUGGUUGUAGUUUAGCGUUGAUUAGAAAUUUCACGGAAUAACACUGUACACAAACAACGGAGAAGACGAACCUGAGAGGUGAAGCACACAAAGAACGGAGAAGACGAACCUGAGAGGUGAAGCAGAGGAAACCUUUAUUCUGCGUUUGAGGCGGCUGGAAGAAUCUAUAUGUUUACGGAAUGACAGUGUAGAAUUUCUAAGAAUGAUUUAAAUGUGUAAGGAUGUAUGCGGAAGGAAAUCAGGGCCUAAGAUAUGCAAAUAUUUUCUUACGUUAUUGGAAGGAAAUUUUGGCGUUGAACACGUUCAUGAAAGCUGGAGUAAUUAUGUUGCUUAAUGAAAGUUGGUUGCUGAAAUAUUCUAUCAUCAAUUUUUUUGUGUUUGUGGAAGUGGUGGUGAGUAACUUCCCUCGCACUCAUGCAUUAAGGUUCACGUCCACAUAUGAAAAUGAUAACAUGUUGACACACAAAAAUGAUUGACCUGUUUCUUAUAAGUCUAGAUUUCAAAACAAUUAAAGAAACAGAGUAAUCCUUAAGAAGCAGAAUAAGCGUUCAAAGUAGAUACAAAAGUUUAAGAAAACCGAAAGAAACUAUGAGUCAAUAAUACACUGGAAAGAAACACUUUAAAAGCAAUCCCUUGCAAGCUAUGAGACGCCACACGGAAUCUCUAAUUCCCACCCUUAAGGCAUUUAGCUUUCCCCAUCUCAUCAAUGCGACAAGUUCUCUUUGUCCCCUCUGCAGAAUCCACACUGACUAUGGAAGCUUCACACACGUUGAUUCCAGUCUCAAAUGUUUCCUCC
This 939-nucleotide long non-coding RNA is filed under the name Brassica napus (rape). Its description in RNAcentral is "long non-coding RNA (BNAP_LNC020002)". Lineage: Eukaryota; Viridiplantae; Streptophyta; Magnoliopsida; Brassicales; Brassicaceae. The record is from RNAcentral.